This is a non-coding RNA of Mycena epipterygia, 94 nucleotides long. The record is from the annotation of a GenBank genome assembly. NCBI's taxonomy places the organism in Eukaryota, Fungi, Basidiomycota, Agaricomycetes, Agaricales, Mycenaceae.
GCACCGGUGGUGUAUGGUACACGCGCUGUCCCUGUGCGUCCAAUGUGGUUAGCGAGUCAAUCGGCGAGACGGGGUUCGAUUCCCCGCUGGUGCA